Aotus nancymaae (Ma's night monkey) is the source of this 292-nucleotide unclassified non-coding RNA. It matches the Rfam family "Metazoan signal recognition particle RNA". From Rfam's summary of the family: The signal recognition particle (SRP) is a universally conserved ribonucleoprotein. It is involved in the co-translational targeting of proteins to membranes. The record is from Ensembl. Lineage: Eukaryota; Metazoa; Chordata; Mammalia; Primates; Aotidae.
CUUUAAAAUGGUUAAUUUUGGUGCAUACCUAUAGUCGCAGGGACUUGGGAGUCUGGCUUGAGUCCAUGAGUUCUGGGCUGUAGCACACACUGCCAAUCGGGUAUCCACACUGAGUUUGACAUCAAUAUGGUGACCUCCCAGGAGCAAGGGACCACCAGUGGCCUAAGGAGGAGUGAACAGGCCCAAGUCAGAAACUGAACAGGUCAAAAAUCCUGUGCUAAUCAGUAGAGGUAUCACACCUGUAAAUAGCCACCAUACUCUAGCCUGGACAACAUAGCAAGAUCCUGUCUCU